This 22-nucleotide small nuclear RNA is filed under the name Arabidopsis thaliana (thale cress). Its description in RNAcentral is "snRNA_17470". The record is from RNAcentral. Lineage: Eukaryota; Viridiplantae; Streptophyta; Magnoliopsida; Brassicales; Brassicaceae.
GUUACGUACACUGUUCCGGUUC